CCCUGCCAAUAUUGCGAUACAGAGAAAGGGAAAAAAGGGCUUACAAUACUCCCAAAAAACACUUGCGUUACUGAGAACGGAGAAGGAGAGAGAGAUCGAGAGAUCAAAAACUGAAACCCAAAACAUCAGACACCAAUCAAGAUGAAGAAGAGCCGUACAGUCUCUUUUAAUAUCCCCAAACUCUCUCUCUCUCUCUCUCUCUCUUCUCACGAACCCUAAUCUUUUUCUUCAAGAAUAUUCAAUCCCUUCAAUCCAGGCUACAGAUCUAGAGUCUCUAAUUUAAUCAAAGCAAAGUAAGUUGCGGAGACAAGUAGAGAAUCUGUCAUGUAGCCAGAACCACUACAGAGAGCAAAGAGUAGGGAGGCAAUGAGACAUGAGAGAAUUAGAAGUGUUACCAACAAAGGAUGCAAUUUCAACAUGAUUGGUAGACCCAAUGCGGCUGGCUAAUCUUCUUUGCAGGAUAGCCUUUAUUGUCUACAACAAUCUGUCAUUAACACAGCAUAUAAACCUGCUGAAGAUGGAAAAUGAGAAGAUGAUAGCAUGCUUAUUCAAAUGCUUCGCAAACGAAACAAUGCUACUAAACAAAAUGCAUCAAAGAAGAAGAAAAAUUGAAGGAGGAAAAAUAGCAACUACAGAAUUCAAUUUAAUUUUCAGUUUUUGUUUUUCCUCCUCCCUGGUGGGUGAAUUUUUAAUAACAAAACAAUGAAUGUGAUUGCUAUUAAGUUGACAGGUUUUUAGUGGUAUCAUCUUAAUAUCUUUUGGUUAA
Molecule: long non-coding RNA, 766 nt
Organism: Quercus robur (English oak)
Lineage: Eukaryota; Viridiplantae; Streptophyta; Magnoliopsida; Fagales; Fagaceae
Exons: 5
Source: RefSeq, a predicted model, not a curated record